This is a non-coding RNA of Nomascus leucogenys (northern white-cheeked gibbon), 142 nucleotides long. Ensembl annotates it as small Cajal body-specific RNA 3. Its record names the gene SCARNA3. The record is from Ensembl. Lineage: Eukaryota; Metazoa; Chordata; Mammalia; Primates; Hylobatidae.
AAUGGAAGCUGCAGGAACCAACCAUGUGGACAAAUGAAAAAAUGCCUUUUGUCUACAGAUUGCAGCGAUCCUACAUAAAAUAUGGAGGUCUCUGUCUGGCUUAGGACAGCUGGCUAAGUCUGAUCGUUCCCCUCCAUACAGC